GACGAACCGUACGAACGUUAUUCGGAAUCACUGGGCUUAAAGGGUGCGUAGGCGGCGCUGAAAGUUGGGUGUGAAAUCCCUCGGCUCAACCGAGGAACUGACAUUCAAAACUACAGUGCUUGAGGGAGACAGAGGUGAGCGGAACUUAGGGUGGAGCGGUGAAAUGCGUUGAUAUCCUAAGGAACACCCGUGGCGAAAGCGGCUCACUGGGUCUCUUCUGACGCUGAGGCACGAAAGCUAGGGGAGCGAACGGG
RNAcentral lists this ribosomal RNA (254 nucleotides) under uncultured bacterium. RNAcentral's name for it is "partial 16S ribosomal RNA". It matches the Rfam family "Bacterial small subunit ribosomal RNA", at positions 524 to 776 of the family's 1533-position model. The record is from RNAcentral.